CAGAAACAUAGUUUAAGAAAAAUAUCGGUAUUGGAGACCGAAGAUUAGAUAUAUUUCUAUUUUCUGA
RNAcentral lists this transfer RNA (67 nucleotides) under Cocculina enigmadonta. RNAcentral's name for it is "tRNA-Pro". Lineage: Eukaryota; Metazoa; Mollusca; Gastropoda; Cocculinidae. The record is from RNAcentral.